Molecule: long non-coding RNA, 2182 nt
Organism: Magnolia sinica
Lineage: Eukaryota; Viridiplantae; Streptophyta; Magnoliopsida; Magnoliales; Magnoliaceae
Exons: 5
Source: RefSeq, a predicted model, not a curated record
CUACCCUCUCUAUCUCUAGCCCCAGGCCUUUGAUGAACUCAUAUAGAGGGCUUCUAAGCUGGUUUCUUAAGACACCCAGAAUCCAAAACAAGAUGAUCUCAACACUUCGAUUCAUGGGUCUUUCAGGAAAUCUAGCUUCUCUUGAGAUUCGAAGAAGAUUUGGGGGAUUUAUUAUCAGAAGUGCAGAAGAUUUCGGCAGUUCUAUUGUCGUCAUUGCUACUGCUGCUAUCAGAUGCCUUGGAUUUGGGCUUUGGUCAUUAUGUGAAGGGUUCAUGGAUGAAGGCUUUCAUGUUUGUACACAGCAGUUUCUAUUUUGUACCAAGGAAUUAAGAUGCUAAGGAAGAAAAGAAGCCAUAAGGGUCUUGAUUCGUAUAAAGGAAAGUCCCUGAAGCUGCUCUCUGUUAUGGCUACAAUCCGUUUGGAUAACAAGGAUGAUAAAAUCCAGACUACUUCUCACUUGCUUUAGCAGAGUCGGCGAAUGGCAAUGUUACUGACAGGAGCAUCAUUUCAUCUGACCCACUGGCUUCAAACACUUGGGAAGAGGUGACAUAUGAAGCUUCUGAAACUCUUUCUUGAUGUGUUUGGCCCAUGAACUUUCUUAUUGAUCACAAAGACUUGGUAUGAAGAAGGAUAUUUCACAAUAAGGAAUGAAAAAUAGCAAAGGUAAUCUCUAUCAAUCUUAUUUACCAAGAAGGCUCAUGAACAUCUCUCUUUUGCAUUUGCAUCCCUUGAUCAAUUCCAAGAAUAAUAAUAUGAAAGAAGAAAUUGAUGGGAAUUCAAAUGUUGCAACAAAAACACAAGUAUGAAAUCACUACUACUAGAUUUAUGGCUCUAACUUACAUGUGGAUGAACAUAUUCCACACAUGGAAGCAGACCCAUUUCGAAAGAACCCCAAAUACAUGCAAUGUUCAUGUUAGAUCAUAUUGAGAAUGUUGGAAGUUAUCAACAUGAAUGAUUUUGCAUAUUGAGAAUGUUGGAAGCUAUCAACAUGAAUGAUUUUGCAUGUAAUCUGAUUACUUACAAGCACACAGUAGAACUCAUAUGCAAAUGUUUGUUUACACUUCCAAAUAAGUUGAUUAUAAUCUUCUCUUCCGUAUCCAUAUGUGAUGUAACAAAUCUGUAUUUUGGGUUGUUUGGCAACUAGGAAUUUACAAGUUGCUAAAGAAUUUAUUUUUUGGAAACAAAUUCUCUAUGAGAAACUGAUUGGGUGCACCUUACCAUCUAAGUUCUCUUCAGCCAUCUAGGAAUUUAUAAGUUCUCUUUUUGCCAUGACCCAACUAAAUCUAAUUGGGUGUACCUUACCAUCUAAUAUUUGGCCAUCUUUUUCCUAAACAAUUGAUAUUUAUGUUCUUUGACACUGCUUAUCAAAUUAAAGUUUAUAUCUCACAACUACUGGCCGCACUUGUAACAGGUAACAGGACACUUCAACCUAAUACAGGUCAGGAUCAAAUCAUGGGCAUACAUUUACUGAUCCAAACUCAAAUCAUGGGCCCACCUUUAUACGGGGCAGGGCCUCAAAUUACGAUUAUUUGGGAAAUUGUUUUGAUCUGUAAAGGUUUGUUGAUCCCAUGUGCUUAUGAGUGUAGCCUUGCCCCUCUACAUAUCUGAACAUGUGUAUGGUGCACAUGUUGUGAACAUCCAAGCUAUCCAUCAUUCCAUCCCCUAUAGGGAGCUUUAUCGUGUUUCCAUGAUCUCUGUAUAGGUGGGGACUGUUUUGAAAUGUUACAUACAACCGACUUUGGCUGUUCUACAAGUUAUCCCAUAUGUAGUGGUUAGAUCUGCUUGGUUUUUUUCUCGAAAUGUCUUCCAUCUGUUUCAUCUCAUGAAGGUUGUUGUAAUGCUGAUUUCAAGUCUUUGCAAGAGUUUCUCUUGAACAGAAGGAGCUUAUCAUGACCACUUUUAAGAUAGUGGGAAGGAUGGUAUUGAUGUGUGGAGAUGGGACCAAUGAUGUUGGGGCUCUGAAGCAAGUAUUAAUGCCCCUCUUUCACAUAGCUGUUUUUAUCUUAUUAUCCAUUAAUUUGUAGGCUGCUGAUUGAGCCCCUUUGUUUGAAAUCUGAACCACAGUUUGUUGGCCCAUUUAUAUGGAUUAGUGCGUCUGAACUUGAAAAUGUAUUUAAGAAAAAGGCUUUGUAGCCACAGGAUCCAUUCCUACAGAAUACUUCAACAAACAUCAUGAAUAGGA